This 2421-nucleotide ribosomal RNA is filed under the name Brassica cretica. RNAcentral's name for it is "eukaryotic LSU rRNA". It matches the Rfam family "Eukaryotic large subunit ribosomal RNA", at positions 564 to 2866 of the family's 3401-position model. Lineage: Eukaryota; Viridiplantae; Streptophyta; Magnoliopsida; Brassicales; Brassicaceae. The record is from RNAcentral.
UGACCCUGCGGAGGGACAAUCAGUCGUCGUACGGUGCUUGGUAUGGCUAAGGUUUCGCCGGUCUUAAAGUCAGCGCCUCAUCUGACCCGUCUUGAAACACGGACCAAGGAGUGUAGCGUUUGCGCAAGUCUUAGAGUGUAUCGAAACUUUGAGGCGUAACGAAAGUAAAUGCAGUUUAAUCUGCUGACUUGGGAUGCGUUGUCUCUUGUGGACGGCGCUGGACCAAGGUUUUAUCGCGAUCGCUUGCGGUGCGGUGAAAAUAGAGCGUAAACGGUGCGACCCGAAAGAUGGUGAACUAUGCCUGAGCAGGAUGAAGCCGGAGGAAACUCUGGUGGAAGUCCGAAGCGGUUCUGACGUGCAAAUCGAUCGUCUGACUUGGGUAUAGGGGCGAAAGACUAAUCGAACCAUCUAGUAGCUGGUUUCCUCUGAAGUUUCCCUCAGGAUAGCUGGAACUCGUGCACUAGUUAUAUCCGGUAAAGCGAAUGAUUAGAGGCCUUUGGGACGAUAAGACCUAAACCUAUUCUCAAACUUUUAAUGGGUAUGAUGAUGCAGUUACUUAAGUGAACUGUGUCUCUGCGAAUAAGAGCUCCAAGUGGGCCAUUUUUGGUAAGCAGAACUGGCGCUGCGGGAUGAACCGAACGCGGAGAUAAGGUGCCUAACUUUCCGCUCAUUAGAACCCAUGAAAGGUGUUGGUUGAUAUAGACAGCAGGACGGUGGCCAUGGAAGUCGGAAUCCGCUAAGGAGUGUGUAACAACUCACCUGCCGAAUCAACUAGCCCUGAAAAUGGAUGGCGCUUGAGCGGGAGACCUAUACUCUGCCGUUAGUCGUGAAGCCUUCGGGCGGCGCUAACGAGUAAGAGGACGUCGUGAUUUUGCUUUGAAGGUUUGGGCGUGAGCCUGACUGGAGCAGUCACGAGUGCAGAUCUUGGUAGUAGUAGCAAAUAUUUAAGUGAGAUCCUUAAAGACUGAAGUGGAGAAGGGUUUUGCGUGAACAGUAGUUGAACGCAAGUUAGUCGAUCCUAAGACAAGGGCUAACGCCGUGUUUGCUCAAAAGGAGCGUCUCGUCUUUGCUUUUCGAAGCGAGGAUUCAACGAAGCGCUCAUCUGUCGAAAGGGAAGCAGGUUAAUAUUCCUGCACCAGGACACGGAGAUUGCGGCUUGCCUUCGGGCUCGUCGUUUUAGCGCGGUAACGCAAACGAACUCGAUGACGUUGCACGUGACCUGAGCUAGAGUUUUCUUCUCUAGUUGAAAAGUCUGAUUCCUGGAAUUGAUUCGGUUGGAGAUAGGAAUGAUUGACUUUGCACAAGCAGCGCGGAUACUGCGUUGUCUCAUGCGUUGCGUGCGAUACGUGAAAAAUCGAGGGAGGCUAUUUGAAUUUCGUGCCUGAUCGUACCCAUAUCCGCAGCAGGUCUCCAAGGUGUGCAGCCUCUAGUCGAUAGAAUAAUGUAGGUAAGGGAAGUCGGCAAAUUAGAUCCGUAACUUUGGGAAAAGGAUUGGCUCUAAAGAUUGGUCGUUUCGGGGCUCGAUGCGAAGCCGAGCGAUUCUGCUAAAUGUGCGUUCUGCCUCGGUGGUACGUGCGUUUCGGCUAGUGAUUGCUUGGUGGACUGUUGGGUCUGUGCGUCUUCGUUUCGGCGUUGGCGUUUUCGGGCGGCGCUUGACAAUCGUCUUAGAACUGGAACGGACUCGGGGAAUCCGACUGUCUAAUUAAAACAGAGGAGACAGAUGGUGCUUGAUGCGUGUUAACUGUCUCUGAUUUCUGCCCAGUGCUCUGAAUGUCAAAGUGAGGUAACUCGACCAAGCGCGGGUAAACGGCGGGAGUAACUAUGACUCUCUUAAGGUAGCCAAAUGCCUCGUCCUCUAAUUAGGGACGCGCAUGAAUGGAUUAACGAGAUUCCCACUGUCCCUAUCUACUAUCUAGCGAAACUACAGCCAAGGGAACGGGCUUGGCGAAAACAGCGGGGAAAGAAGACCCUGUUGAGCUUGACUCUAGUUCGACUCUGUGAUGAGUCUUGAGAGGUGUAGCAUAAGUGGGAGAUCUUCGGAUCGCCAGUGAAAUACCACUACUUUCAACGAUUUUUUACUUACUCGAUUAGACGACGCCUUUAUGUGUUUUGGGUUUAAGCGUUGGCACUUGGUGCCGGCGUGAGUCGCGUCGAGAAAAAAGUCAGACGGGGAGUUUGACUGGGGCGGUACAUCUAUCAAAUCGUAACGUAGGUGUCCUAAGGCUGGCUCAGAGAGGUUGGAAACCUUUCGUAGAGUAAAAGGGCAAAAGCGAGCUUGAUCUAGAUUUUCAGUACGAAUACAGACCGUGAAAGCGUGGCCUAUCGAUCCUUUUGAUUUGAAAAGUUUUCAGUAAGAGGUGUCAGAAAAGUUACCACAGGGAUAACUGGCUUGUGGCAGCCAAGCGUCCAUAGCGACGUUGC